CAACAACACUAAAUGAAUUUACAGAUCCUGGCAGUUCCCUCCCCUGUUUUUCACAGCAAACUGUUGAUUCUUCUGAGGCAAAGCAAGAACUAAAAACGGUAUGUAUAAGAGAUUCACAAUCAAUUCUUGUUAGGACUCGAGGUGGGAACACUGGAGUUGUAAAAGUACAAACUAAUCCAGAACAAAAUUCACCCAACAGUUUAUCUUCAAGUUCUGUUUUCACCUUUGCACCUCAAUUUCAGGCGUUUCUUGUGCCAAAAUCAACAUCAUGCCCUACUU
Molecule: long non-coding RNA, 279 nt
Filed under: Rattus norvegicus (Norway rat)
Lineage: Eukaryota; Metazoa; Chordata; Mammalia; Rodentia; Muridae
Description: long non-coding RNA NONRATT003703
Source: RNAcentral